RNAcentral lists this small nucleolar RNA (135 nucleotides) under Chelonia mydas (Green sea turtle). RNAcentral describes it as "Small nucleolar RNA SNORA33". It matches the Rfam family "Small nucleolar RNA SNORA33". Rfam says of the family: ACA33 is a member of the H/ACA class of snoRNA that guide the sites of modification of uridines to pseudouridines. Lineage: Eukaryota; Metazoa; Chordata; Testudines; Cheloniidae. The record is from Rfam by way of RNAcentral.
AUGCCAGUAAAUUAUGUCUGCUUAACUUUGAAAAUGUUCUGCAGAAAUCAUUAGGAUGGUGCUGGCAAUAACAAAGCCAUGGUACGAGCCUUAAGGACUUGCUAGUCCUUGAGGUCCCUGAAAAUGGCUACAUAU